CUCAGAUGGAAACAUGGCAGAAAUGGACUCAUACUCUCUGACACGUGUUGGCUACGCUAAGAAGGCAAGUAGCCAGCUUGGUCCCCAGCAUCUUAAUGUUAAAGUCAUAUCAGCCAUGAGCUUUUGUCUGGUUCCUGAUCCAAUGUCAACAGUCAUUUUUCACCCCCCUGGACCCAGGAUUCUGGAACUAAAAAAAGAAAUUCUGUUUGUCCAGAGAGUCCCUUGACAAGCUCUCCCAGAGAGGGCAGCUCCUCAGCGAAGAAAGCCACGGUGCUGGAAAGGGAGGCCGCCGGUACACCCAGCUACUUACCAGCUACCAAAACCUUCUCAGAGUAACCAAAGAGAGGCUGCGCAGCUGUCAGCUGGCCCUACAGGAGCACGAAGCUCUUGAAGAAGCCACACAGAGCAUGUGGUCCCGGGUAAAGGAUGUGCAAGACAAGUUGGCUUGUUCGGAGAGCACUCUUGGGAACAAGGAGACGUUAGAGGGACGAUUGUCACAGAUUCAGGAGAUUCUCCUCAUGAAAGGCGAAGGAGAAGUCAAGUUGAAUAUGGCCAUUGGCAAAGGGGACCAGGCCUUAAGAAGCAGCAACAAGGAGGGUCAGCAGGCGAUCCAGGCUCAGCUGGAGACACUUAAAACAACGUG
This 643-nucleotide long non-coding RNA is filed under the name Cricetulus griseus (Chinese hamster). Its description in RNAcentral is "lncRNA (ENSCGRG00000024663.1)". The record is from RNAcentral. Lineage: Eukaryota; Metazoa; Chordata; Mammalia; Rodentia; Cricetidae.